RNAcentral lists this ribosomal RNA (156 nucleotides) under Hygrocybe miniata. RNAcentral's name for it is "5.8S ribosomal RNA". It matches the Rfam family "5.8S ribosomal RNA". From Rfam's summary of the family: 5.8S ribosomal RNA (5.8S rRNA) is a component of the large subunit of the eukaryotic ribosome. It is transcribed by RNA polymerase I as part of the 45S precursor that also contains 18S and 28S rRNA. Functionally, it is thought that 5.8S rRNA may be involved in ribosome translocation. Lineage: Eukaryota; Fungi; Basidiomycota; Agaricomycetes; Agaricales; Hygrophoraceae. The record is from RNAcentral.
CAACUUUCAACAAUGGAUCUCUUGGCUCUCGCAUCGAUGAAGAACGCAGCGAAAUGCGAUACGUAAUGUGAAUUGCAGAAUUCCGUGAAUCAUUGAAUCUUUGAACGCACCUUGCGCCCCUUGGUAUUCCGAGGGGCAUGCCUGUUUGAGUGUCAU